GGGCCCGCACAAGCGGAGGAACAUGUGGUUUAAUUCGAUGAUACGCGAGGAACCUUACCUGGGCUUAAAUGUAGAGUGCAUGAGGUGGAAACACCCUUUCUGGCAACAGACUCUUUGCAAGGUGCUGCAUGGUUGUCGUCAGCUCGUGCCGUGAGGUGUCGGGUUAAGUCCCAUAACGAGCGCAACCCUUAUCGUUAGUUGCCAUCAGGUAAUGCUGGGAACUCUAGCGAGACUGCCACCGUAAGGUGAGAGGAAGGUGGGGAUGACGUCAAAUCAGCACGGCCCUUAUGUCCAGGGCUACACACGUGUUACAAUGGCCGGUACAAAGGGCAGCUACACCGCGAGGUGAUGCUAAUCUCUAAAGCCGGUCUCAGUUCGGAUUGGAGUCUGAAACCCGACUCCAUGAAGUUGGAUUCGCUAGUAAUCGCGCAUCAGCCAUGGCGCGGUGAAUACGUUCCCGGGCCUU
RNAcentral lists this ribosomal RNA (466 nucleotides) under uncultured bacterium. RNAcentral's name for it is "bacterial SSU rRNA". It matches the Rfam family "Bacterial small subunit ribosomal RNA", at positions 917 to 1382 of the family's 1533-position model. The record is from RNAcentral.